GACGAACGCUGGCGGCGUGCCUAAUACAUGCAAGUCGAGCGAACGGGCCCGGAGCUUGUUGCUCUCAUGUUUGGGGCGGACGGGUGAAUCACAUGUGGAUCACCCCCUUAUCUGUCUGGGAAAACUACGAAAAACCGGCUCUUAUCCCCUAUAAUAUUUUGCACCGCAUUGUUCGAAAGUGAAUGACGGUCGUUCUGGCUCUUAUCGAUGCAUCCGCGCUUGAUUAGCUAGUUGGUAAGUUCACGGCUUACCAAGGGAACGAUGCAUGGCCUACUUGACGGGCUGAUAGGCCACACUGGAACUGAGACACGGUCCAGACUACUGCGAUAGGGAGCAGUAGGGAAUCUUCCGCAAUGGGCGAAAGCCUGACGGAGCAGGGCCGCGUGAGUGAUGAAGGUGUUCGGAUCGUAAAAAUCUGUUAUUAGGGAAGAACAUAUGUGUAAGUAACUGUGCACAUCUUGACGGUACCUAGUAAGAAAGCCACGGCUAACUACGUG
RNAcentral lists this ribosomal RNA (497 nucleotides) under uncultured bacterium. RNAcentral describes it as "partial 16S ribosomal RNA". It matches the Rfam family "Bacterial small subunit ribosomal RNA", at positions 28 to 507 of the family's 1533-position model. The record is from RNAcentral.